RNAcentral lists this ribosomal RNA (250 nucleotides) under uncultured bacterium. RNAcentral describes it as "partial 16S ribosomal RNA". It matches the Rfam family "Bacterial small subunit ribosomal RNA", at positions 28 to 259 of the family's 1533-position model. The record is from RNAcentral.
GAUGAACGCUGGCGGCGUGCCUAAUACAUGCAAGUCGAGCGAGAAGUCACAUUACUGAUUCUUCGGAAGAAGUAAAGUGAUGGAAAGCGGCGGACGGGUGAGUAACGCGUAGGCAACCUGCCUCUCACAGGGGGAUAGCCAUCGGAAACGGUGAUUAAUACCCCAUAAAGUCAAAAUAACACAUGUUAAGCUGACCAAAGAUUUAUCGGUGAGAGAUGGGCCUGCGUCUGAUUAACUAGUUGGUGAGGUA